RNAcentral lists this long non-coding RNA (346 nucleotides) under Nicotiana benthamiana. RNAcentral's name for it is "long non-coding RNA (NBEN_LNC019653)". The record is from RNAcentral. Lineage: Eukaryota; Viridiplantae; Streptophyta; Magnoliopsida; Solanales; Solanaceae.
GCCCGAUAGAUUUCUGCGAUGAUCAUAGGCACUAUGCUAAAAGACUGCCCGUCGAUACCCUCCAUAAAGGUCUUGGUUAACAUGGCUAGUAUAGUGUGGAUCCUAGAAUUCUUCAUAGGAAAUAUUAUCAUGCCCAAGAAGCAAAACAUGAACACAAAGACCCGUCUAUGUAUAUGUCCUAAAGAAGUGAGGGAAAACUGAUCCAUGUAGGUGUGAUAGGACUUGCUAUGGCCAUAUCUCUCGUACAAGAAGUCAAAUGGUAUGUAGGAAUCCUUCAAGCAAGACAGGUCGGGAUUUUUCUUGAGUCCCAUCACAUGAAGAAAACCUCUACCUUGCGGUUUUCCGG